RNAcentral lists this long non-coding RNA (715 nucleotides) under Rattus norvegicus (Norway rat). RNAcentral's name for it is "long non-coding RNA NONRATT002719". Lineage: Eukaryota; Metazoa; Chordata; Mammalia; Rodentia; Muridae. The record is from RNAcentral.
CGCUGGUGCUGGCCGCGGUGCGGCCGAAGGCUGUCCGAGGUAGGCUCCUCUCGGCUCUCCUAUGGAGAAGGCGGCGCUCACUGCAGUCCCGGAUGCACGAACUUCCCGCGGGACGUCGCCGGAGACGGUGGCUGUGUGCGCGCAGGAGCGAGCUGCCUGCGUGGGGGUCUGAGCGGGCACUCGGGUCGCGUCCCGGAGGGAGCCGCGUCGCCCGCCGGCCUGCGACGGCCCUAAGGGUGGAACUACUCUGCCAUGGUUAAAUACUUUAAAUGGGAAUAAAGGAUAGCAUUUCCAAGAAAAUGAGAAUGAAUAAAUCAUCUCUGUUUUUUAAAAGAAAGACCAUAUUAAACUUACAUGAACUCCGUAGAGUGGCAUGGUGAUGGUGGAGUAAAAGAGAGACGUGCUUGCAUCAAAGGAUGCAAAGUAACAAGUUUGAAGACUGCAUCAUCCUGCCUCCAGUACAAGCAGUUUCUCUGUUCGGUGAUCAAUGUCACUCACAGGAACUUAAGUAACUAACGAAAUGAGCCUGGGGCGUGGAAAAUAUGACUUUUAUAUUGGUCUUGGAUUGGCUAUGACCUCCAGCAUUUUCAUUGGAGGGAGUUUCAUUUUGAAAAAAAAAGGCCUUCUGCGACUUGCCAGAAAAGGCUCCAUGAGAGCAGGUCAAGGAGGCCAUGCAUAUCUUAAGGAAUGGUUAUGGUGGGCUGGACUGCUGUCA